GCUGACGACCGGCGCACGGGUGCGUAACGCGUAUACAACCUACCUUUUGGAGGGGAAUAGCCCAGGGAAACUUGGAUUAAUGCCCCAUAGUAUGGGAAUAUCUCCUGAUAUUUUCAUUAAACAUUUAUGGCCAUUAGAUGGGUAUGCGUCCUAUUAGUUAGUUGGUAAGGUAACGGCUUACCAAGGCAGCGAUAGGUAGGGGUCCUGAGAGGGAGAUCCCCCACACUGGUACUGAGACACGGACCAGACUCCUACGGGAGGCAGCAGUGAGGAAUAUUGGACAAUGGGCGAGAGCCUGAUCCAGCCAUGCCGCGUGCAGGAAGACUGCCCUAUGGGUUGUAAACUGCUUUUACAGAGGAAGAACCACUCCCACGUGUGGGAGUUUGACGGUACUCUGCGAAUAAGGAUCGGCUAACUCCGUGCCAGCAGCCGCGGUAAUACGGAGGAUCCAAGCGUUAUCGGGAAUCAUUGGGUUUAAAGGGUCCGUAGGCGGGCAGUUAAGUCAGUGGUGAAAGUCUUCCGCUCAACGGGAGAACUGCCAUUGAUACUGAUUGUCUUGAGUUAUUAUGAAGUGGUUAGAAUGAGUAGUGUAGCGGUGAAAUGCAUAGAUAUUACUCAGGAAUACCGAUUGCGAAGGCAGAUCACUAAUAAUAUACUGACGCUGAUGGACGAAAGCGUAGGUAGCGAACAGGAUUAGAUACCCUGGUAGUCUACGCCGUAAACGAUGGUUACUAGCUGUUCGGCCCGAUUAAGGGCUGAGUGGUUAAGCGAAAGUGAUAAGUAACCCACCCUGGGGAGUACGUUCGCAAGAAUGAAACUCAAAGGAAUUGACGGGGGCCCGCACAAGCGGUGGAGCAUGUGGUUUAAUUCGAUGAUACGCGAGGAACCUUACCAGGGCUUAAAUGUAGUCUGACAGGAGUGGAAACACUUUUUUUUUCGGACAGAUUACAAGGUGCUGCAUGGUUGUCGUCAGCUCGUGCCGUGAGGUGUCAGGUUAAGUCCUAUAACGAGCGCAACCCCUGUGGUUAGUUGCCAGCGAGUAAUGUCGGGAACUCUAGCCAGACUGCCGGUGCAAACCGCGAGGAAGGUGGGGAUGACGUCAAAUCAUCACGGCCCUUACGUCCUGGGCCACACACGUGCUACAAUGGUAGGGACAGAGAGCAGCCACUUCGCGAGAAGGAGCGAAUCUACAAACCCUAUCACAGUUCGGAUCGCAGUCUGCAACUCGACUGCGUGAAGCUGGAAUCGCUAGUAAUCGCAUAUCAGCCAUGAUGCGGUGAAUACGUUCCCGGGCCUUGUACACACCGCCCGUCAAGCCAU
RNAcentral lists this ribosomal RNA (1320 nucleotides) under Salegentibacter agarivorans. RNAcentral describes it as "bacterial SSU rRNA". It matches the Rfam family "Bacterial small subunit ribosomal RNA", at positions 87 to 1405 of the family's 1533-position model. Lineage: Bacteria; Pseudomonadati; Bacteroidota; Flavobacteriia; Flavobacteriales; Flavobacteriaceae. The record is from RNAcentral.